This 63-nucleotide transfer RNA is filed under the name Lamprotula tortuosa. RNAcentral describes it as "tRNA-Thr". Lineage: Eukaryota; Metazoa; Mollusca; Bivalvia; Unionida; Unionidae. The record is from RNAcentral.
CUUGCUAACCUUUCAGGAAGUGGUCACGUAAACCACAGAUGGCCUUAUAGGCCCAUAGCAAGA